Molecule: transfer RNA, 66 nt
Filed under: Marmota monax (woodchuck)
Lineage: Eukaryota; Metazoa; Chordata; Mammalia; Rodentia; Sciuridae
Description: tRNA.Ala
Source: RNAcentral
GGUUAUGGCUCAGUGGUAGGGCCUUUGCCUAGCAUGCACAAGGCACUGUGUUUGAUCCCCAGACCA